GACGAACGCUGGCGGCGUGCCUAACACAUGCAAGUCGAACGGAAAGGCCCGGCUCUUGCUGGGCGCGCGUGUGGCGCACAGGGGUGUGUCACGCGUGUAUCCCCUGCCUUACUGCGGGGUAUCAUUAGGAGACACGGGCUCUUAUCCGACAUAAGCUUCUGCUGCAUGUUGGGGGUAGGAAAGUUUCGGCGGUUCUGGAUGGAAGCGCGGACUUUCAUCUUGUUGGUGAGGUAGUGGCUUACCAACGCUCUGACGGGUAGCCGGCCUGGGAGGGUGACCGGCCACAUUGGGCCUGAGGUACGGCCAAGACUCCAACGGGAGGCAGGAGUGGGGAAUAUUGCGAAAUGGGCCGAAGCCUGAAGGAGGAACGCCGCGUGCGGGAUGACGGCCGUCGGGUUAUAAACCGCGUGCGAGUGUAACGAUGACUGAGUGACGGUAAUGGAUAAGAAAGCAACGGCUAACUACGUG
RNAcentral lists this ribosomal RNA (468 nucleotides) under uncultured bacterium. RNAcentral describes it as "partial 16S ribosomal RNA". It matches the Rfam family "Bacterial small subunit ribosomal RNA", at positions 28 to 507 of the family's 1533-position model. The record is from RNAcentral.